GAUGAAGAACGCAGCGAAAUGCGAUAAGUAAUGUGAAUUGCAGAAUUCAGUGAAUCAUCGAAUCUUUGAACGCACAUUGCGCCCGCCAGUAUUCUGGCGGGCAUGCCUGUUCGAGCGUCAUUUCAACCAUCAAGCCCCCGGCUUGUGUUGGGGACCUGCGGCUGCCGCAGGCCCUGAAAACCAGUGGCGGGCUCGCUAGUCACUCCGAGCGUAGUAAUACAUCUCGCUCAGGGCGUGCUGCGGGUUCCGGCCGUUAAAAAAGCCUUAUUUACCCAAGGUUGACCUCUGAUCAGGUAGGAAGACCCGCUGAACUUAAGCAUAUCAAUAAGCGGAGGA
RNAcentral lists this unclassified non-coding RNA (336 nucleotides) under soil metagenome. RNAcentral's name for it is "partial contains 5.8S ribosomal RNA, internal transcribed spacer 2, and large subunit ribosomal RNA". The stretch from base 1 to 120 matches the Rfam family "5.8S ribosomal RNA", at positions 35 to 154 of the family's 154-position model. The record is from RNAcentral.